UGGAGGGGUAACGGCCCACCAAGGCGACGAUCAGUAGCCGGUCUGAGAGGAUGAACGGCCACAUUGGAACUGAGACACGGUCCAGACUCCUACGGGAGGCAGCAGUGGGGAAUAUUGGGCAAUGGACGCAAGUCUGACCCAGCAACGCCGCGUGAAGGAAGAAGGCUUUCGGGUCGUAAAGCUCUGUCCUUGGGGAAGAAAAAAUGACGGUACCCUUGGAGGAAGCCCCGGCUAACUAC
This 239-nucleotide ribosomal RNA is filed under the name uncultured bacterium. RNAcentral's name for it is "partial 16S ribosomal RNA". It matches the Rfam family "Bacterial small subunit ribosomal RNA", at positions 250 to 504 of the family's 1533-position model. The record is from RNAcentral.